RNAcentral lists this long non-coding RNA (264 nucleotides) under Lathyrus oleraceus (garden pea). Its description in RNAcentral is "Pisum sativum (pea) long non-coding RNA (PSAT_LNC024620)". The record is from RNAcentral. Lineage: Eukaryota; Viridiplantae; Streptophyta; Magnoliopsida; Fabales; Fabaceae.
UUACCAAGAGAAAUCACCUUCAUUUCCCCAAAUCCUUCCACAAAGUAGAAAGUUUGGAGCGCAAUCUAACCUUUGAGAUGUGAAACUUUUUGGCCAAAGGAUUCAACCAUGAAGGUGUGUUUGCACAUGUCAACCCCUGCUUGGUAUUCUUUUGUUGGUGUUAUGAUUGAGAGACGAUCCCCUUUCAAAACUAGUUAAAGAAACUGUGAUGUUGAUACGUCACACACUCUAUUAAGGAUUUGAAUGAGAGUAUUUGGGUUUAGG